GACGAACGCUGGCGGCGUGCUUAACACAUGCAAGUCGAACGGAAAGGCCCUGCUUUUGUGGGGUGCUCGAGUGGCGAACGGGUGAGUAACAAGUGAGUAACCUGCCCUUGACUUUGGGAUAACUUCAGGAAACUGGGGCUAAUACCGGAUAGGAGCUCCUGCUGCAUGGUGGGGGUUGGAAAGUUUCGGCGGUUGGGGAUGGACUCGCGGCUUAUCAGCUUGUUGGUGGGGUAGUGGCUUACCAAGGCUUUGACGGGUAGCCGGCCUGAGAGGGUGACCGGCCACAUUGGGACUGAGAUACGGCCCAGACUCCUACGGGAGGAAGAAGUGGGGAAUAUUGCACAAUGGGCGGAAGCCUGAUGAAGCAACGCCGCGGGCGGGAUGACGGCCUUCGGGUUGUAAACCGCUUUCGCAUGUGACGAAGCGUGAGUGACGGUAAUGGGUAAAGAAGCACCGGCUAACUACGUG
RNAcentral lists this ribosomal RNA (468 nucleotides) under uncultured bacterium. Its description in RNAcentral is "partial 16S ribosomal RNA". It matches the Rfam family "Bacterial small subunit ribosomal RNA", at positions 28 to 507 of the family's 1533-position model. The record is from RNAcentral.